GAGGGCGUGGCUCAGUGGUAAAGCGCAUGCUUAACAUGCAUGAGGUCCUUGGUUCAAUCCCCAGUAGCUCCA
Molecule: transfer RNA, 72 nt
Filed under: Camelus bactrianus (Bactrian camel)
Lineage: Eukaryota; Metazoa; Chordata; Mammalia; Artiodactyla; Camelidae
Also listed under: 1 other name
Rfam family: tRNA
About the family: Transfer RNA (tRNA) molecules are approximately 80 nucleotides in length. Their secondary structure includes four short double-helical elements and three loops (D, anti-codon, and T loops).
Source: Rfam by way of RNAcentral